Molecule: ribosomal RNA, 726 nt
Filed under: uncultured bacterium
Lineage: Bacteria
Description: bacterial SSU rRNA
Rfam family: Bacterial small subunit ribosomal RNA
Source: RNAcentral
GGUAGUCCACGCCGUAAACGAUGUCGACUUGGAGGUUGUGCCCUUGAGGCGUGGCUUCCGGAGCUAACGCGUUAAGUCGACCGCCUGGGGAGUACGGCCGCAAGGUUAAAACUCAAAUGAAUUGACGGGGGCCCGCACAAGCGGUGGAGCAUGUGGUUUAAUUCGAUGCAACGCGAAGAACCUUACCUACUCUUGACAUCCAGAGAACUUAGCAGAGAUGCUUUGGUGCCUUCGGGAACUCUGAGACAGGUGCUGCAUGGCUGUCGUCAGCUCGUGUUGUGAAAUGUUGGGUUAAGUCCCGCAACGAGCGCAACCCUUAUCCUUUGUUGCCAGCGGUUAGGCCGGGAACUCAAAGGAGACUGCCAGUGAUAAACUGGAGGAAGGUGGGGAUGACGUCAAGUCAUCAUGGCCCUUACGAGUAGGGCUACACACGUGCUACAAUGGCGCAUACAAAGAGAGGCGACCUCGCGAGAGCAAGCGGACCUCAUAAAGUGCGUCGUAGUCCGGAUUGGAGUCUGCAACUCGACUCCAUGAAGUCGGAAUCGCUAGUAAUCGUAGAUCAGAAUGCUACGGUGAAUACGUUCCCGGGCCUUGUACACACCGCCCGUCACACCAUGGGAGUGGGUUGCAAAAGAAGUAGGUAGCUUAACCUUCGGGAGGGCGCUUACCACUUUGUGAUUCAUGACUGGGGUGAAGUCGUAACAAGGUAACCGUAGGGGAACCUGC